Molecule: ribosomal RNA, 293 nt
Filed under: Pantoea sp. PNT01
Lineage: Bacteria; Pseudomonadati; Pseudomonadota; Gammaproteobacteria; Enterobacterales; Erwiniaceae
Description: partial 16S ribosomal RNA
Rfam family: Bacterial small subunit ribosomal RNA
Source: RNAcentral
GUCGACCGCCUGGGGAGUACGGCCGCAAGGUUAAAACUCAAAUGAAUUGACGGGGGCCCGCACAAGCGGUGGAGCAUGUGGUUUAAUUCGAUGCAACGCGAAGAACCUUACCUACUCUUGACAUCCACGGAAUUCGGCAGAGAUGCCUUAGUGCCUUCGGGAACCGUGAGACAGGUGCUGCAUGGCUGUCGUCAGCUCGUGUUGUGAAAUGUUGGGUUAAGUCCCGCAACGAGCGCAACCCUUAUCCUUUGUUGCCAGCGCGUGAUGGCGGGAACUCAAAGGAGACUGCCGGU